This 528-nucleotide ribosomal RNA is filed under the name uncultured bacterium. RNAcentral's name for it is "bacterial SSU rRNA". It matches the Rfam family "Bacterial small subunit ribosomal RNA", at positions 980 to 1509 of the family's 1533-position model. The record is from RNAcentral.
CUUGACAUCCAGCGAAUUCGGUAGAGAUACCUUAGUGCCUUCGGGAACGCUGAGACAGGUGCUGCAUGGCUGUCGUCAGCUCGUGUUGUGAAAUGUUGGGUUAAGUCCCGCAACGAGCGCAACCCUUAUCCUUGUUGCCAGCGGUCCGGCCGGGAACUCAAAGGAGACUGCCAGUGAUAAACUGGAGGAAGGUGGGGAUGACGUCAAGUCAUCAUGGCCCUUACGAGUAGGGCUACACACGUGCUACAAUGGCGCAUACAAAGAGAAGCGACCUCGCGAGAGCAAGCGGACCUCAUAAAGUGCGUCGUAGUCCGGAUUGGAGUCUGCAACUCGACUCCAUGAAGUCGGAAUCGCUAGUAAUCGUAGAUCAGAAUGCUACGGUGAAUACGUUCCCGGGCCUUGUACACACCGCCCGUCACACCAUGGGAGUGGGUUGCAAAAGAAGUAGGUAGCUUAACCUUCGGGAGGGCGCUUACCACUUUGUGAUUCAUGACUGGGGUGAAGUCGUAACAAGGUAAGCGUACGUGU